RNAcentral lists this ribosomal RNA (497 nucleotides) under uncultured bacterium. Its description in RNAcentral is "partial 16S ribosomal RNA". It matches the Rfam family "Bacterial small subunit ribosomal RNA", at positions 28 to 507 of the family's 1533-position model. The record is from RNAcentral.
GAUGAACGCUGGCGGCGUGCCUAAUACAUGCAAGUCGAGCGAACAGACGAGGAGCUUGCUCCUCUGACAUUAGCGGCGGACGGGUGAGUAACACGUGGAUAACCUACCUAUAAGACUGGGAUAACUUCGGGAAACCGGAGCUAAUACCGGAUAAUAUAUUGAACCGCAUGGUUCAAUAGUGAAAGACGGUUUUGCUGUCACUUAUAGAUGGAUCCGCGCCGCAUUAGCUAGUUGGUAAGGUAACGGCUUACCAAGGCAGCGAUGCGUAGCCGACCUGAGAGGGUGAUCGGCCACACUGGAACUGAGACACGGUCCAGACUCCUACGGGAGGCAGCAGUAGGGAAUCUUCCGCAAUGGGCGAAAGCCUGACGGAGCAACGCCGCGUGAGUGAUGAAGGUCUUCGGAUCGUAAAACUCUGUUAUUAGGGAAGAACAAAUGUGUAAGUAACUAUGCACGUCUUGACGGUACCUAAUCAGAAAGCCACGGCUAACUACGUG